AUUGAACGCUGGCGGCAGGCUUAACACAUGCAAGUCGAGCGGAAACGAUGAUAGCUUGCUAUCAGGCGUCGAGCGGCGGACGGGUGAGUAAUACUUAGGAAUCUACCUAGUAGUGGGGGAUAGCACGGGGAAACUCGUAUUAAUACCGCAUACGACCUACGGGAGAAAGGGGGCAGUUUACUGCUCUCGCUAUUAGAUGAGCCUAAGUCGGAUUAGCUAGAUGGUGGGGUAAAGGCCUACCAUGGCGACGAUCUGUAGCUGGUCUGAGAGGAUGAUCAGCCACACCGGGACUGAGACACGGCCCGGACUCCUACGGGAGGCAGCAGUGGGGAAUAUUGGACAAUGGGGGAAACCCUGAUCCAGCCAUGCCGCGUGUGUGAAGAAGGCCUUUUGGUUGUAAAGCACUUUAAGCAGUGAAGAAGACUCCGUGGUUAAUACCCACGGACGAUGACAUUAGCUGCAGAAUAAGCACCGGCUAACUCUGUGCCAGCAGCCGCGGUAAUACAGAGGGUGCAAGCGUUAAUCGGAAUUACUGGGCGUAAAGGGAGCGUAGGUGGCUCUAUAAGUCAGAUGUGAAAUCCCCGGGCUCAACCUGGGAACUGCAUCUGAAACUGUAGAGCUAGAGUGUGUGAGAGGAAGGUAGAAUUCCAGGUGUAGCGGUGAAAUGCGUAGAGAUCUGGAGGAAUACCGAUGGCGAAGGCAGCCUUCUGGCAUAAUACUGACACUGAGGCUCGAAAGCGUGGGUAGCAAACAGG
This 755-nucleotide ribosomal RNA is filed under the name uncultured bacterium. RNAcentral describes it as "bacterial SSU rRNA". It matches the Rfam family "Bacterial small subunit ribosomal RNA", at positions 28 to 776 of the family's 1533-position model. The record is from RNAcentral.